CAUUCAGAUGUGUGUGGCACACCUCAUCCAAUCCAACACUCCAAUUAGCAUAGACUUCCUCAUCCAUCUGAUCCAGAACCUCCAAUACACACUCACACACCUGCAACACCUGCUGUGCCUCAGGACUGUCUAACGGCCUAACACAUACAGAAUGCGGCAGACACUGUCAAAAAUGGCACAAGAAGCAACAUUUUGUGUAUGUCUUAUAAUUAUGUUGAGGUUACCAGCAACGGCGGGCAUGUUUUUACCAAGGACGGGGUAUCCGCUCCUCAUCUGCACCGAAACACAAACAAACAACAGCACAAAAGUCUACCCCCAGCAACUCUUCAUAAACCCUCAUUUGAAAACCACUGCUUCAUUCUCUAAUUAUUAGUCACACAAACCUUCUCCCUCUGGGUGUCCAGGAUGCGCUGACAGAGAUUGACCUCCUCCUGGAACAUGACCAGCAGCUGAGAGUAGUUUGGAGCAAAAAGCUGGUGAACCCUCGGCCUCUCCAACAAAGUACCAAACAUCUGCAGGAGCUACAAACACAGGCUUUCAAUGUUAGAGGCUUAGAGACAGGAUUUUCGCACACACUGAAUUAAAUAAUGACAAUAAUAAACCUUGUGUUUUGCUGUCUGUUCAUUCAUUACUGAGCGUGUGUGUGUGUGUGUGUGUGUGUGUGUGUGUGUGUGCAUGCAAGUGUGUGCAUGAUACCUUAAAAGCAGAC
Molecule: long non-coding RNA, 709 nt
Filed under: Sinocyclocheilus grahami
Lineage: Eukaryota; Metazoa; Chordata; Actinopteri; Cypriniformes; Cyprinidae
Description: lncRNA (ENSSGRG00000053430.1)
Source: RNAcentral